Molecule: ribosomal RNA, 870 nt
Filed under: uncultured bacterium
Lineage: Bacteria
Description: bacterial SSU rRNA
Rfam family: Bacterial small subunit ribosomal RNA
Source: RNAcentral
UUAUGGCUCAGAUGAAACGCGGGCGGUAUGCUUAACACAUGCAAGUCGAACGGUAACAGGCCUUCGGGCGCUGACGAGUGGCGGACGGGUGCGUAACGCGUAGGAAUCUGCCGAUUAGUGGGGGACAACUUGGGGAAACUCAAGCUAAUACCGCAUACGCCCUACGGGGGAAAGCGGGGGACCUUCGGGCCUCGCGCUAAUCGAUGAGCCUGCGUUGGAUUAGCUAGUUGGUGGGGUAAAGGCCUACCAAGGCGACGAUCCAUAGCUGGUCUGAGAGGACGAUCAGCCACACUGGGACUGAGACACGGCCCAGACUCCUGCGGGAGGCAGCAGUGGGGAAUAUUGGACAAUGGGCGCAAGCCUGAUCCAGCAAUACCGCGUGUGUGAAGAAGGCCUGAGGGUUGUAAAGCACUUUUAAUCGGGAGGAAGACCUGUAGGCUAAUACCCUGCAGUAUGACAUUACCGAUAGAAAAAGCACCGGCUAACUCCGUGCCAGCAGCCGCGGUAAUACGGAGGGUGCAAGCGUUAAUCGGAAUUACUGGGAGUAAAGCGUGCGUAGGCGGUUAUUUAAGUCAGAUGUGAAAGCCCCGGGCUUAACCUGGGAACUGCAUUUGAUACUGGGUAACUAGAGUUUAGUAGAGGAAAGUGGAAUUUCAGGUGUAGCGGUGAAAUGCGUAGAGAUCUGAAGGAACACCAGUGGCGAAGGCGACUUUCUGGACUAAAACUGACGCUGAGGUACGAAAGCGUGGGUAGCAAACAGGAUUAGAUACCCUGGUAGUCCACGCCGUAAACGAUGUCAACUAGCCGUUGGUUUAUUUCGAUAAAUUAGUGGCGCAGCUAACGCGAUAAGUUGACCGCCUGGGGAGUACG